GGCUACUUAGUUUUAAGUUAAAAUAUUGGUUUUGUAAGCCAGGGAUGGAUUAAUUAUCUGCUAGCCU
This 67-nucleotide transfer RNA is filed under the name Rhinebothrium sp. 1. Its description in RNAcentral is "tRNA-Thr". The record is from RNAcentral. Lineage: Eukaryota; Metazoa; Platyhelminthes; Cestoda; Rhinebothriidea; Rhinebothriidae.